This 253-nucleotide ribosomal RNA is filed under the name uncultured bacterium. RNAcentral describes it as "partial 16S ribosomal RNA". It matches the Rfam family "Bacterial small subunit ribosomal RNA", at positions 524 to 776 of the family's 1533-position model. The record is from RNAcentral.
UACGUAGGGGGCUAGCGUUGUCCGGAAUCAUUGGGCGUAAAGAGCGUGUAGGCGGUCCGGUAAGUCCGCUGUGAAAGUCGGGGGCUCAACCCUCGAAUGCCAGUGGAUACUGUCGGGCUAGAGUGCGGAAGAGGCGAGUGGAAUUCCUGGUGUAGCGGUGAAAUGCGCAGAUAUCAGGAGGAACACCUAUUGCGAAGGCAGCUCGCUGGGACGUAACUGACGCUGAGACGCGAAAGCGUGGGGAGCAAACAGG